RNAcentral lists this ribosomal RNA (229 nucleotides) under uncultured bacterium. Its description in RNAcentral is "partial 16S ribosomal RNA". It matches the Rfam family "Bacterial small subunit ribosomal RNA", at positions 104 to 334 of the family's 1533-position model. The record is from RNAcentral.
CGGGGUGAGUAAUGUCUGGGAAACUGCCUGAUGGAGGGGGAUAACUGCUGGAAACGGUAGCUAAUACCGCAUAACGCCGCAAGACCAAAGAGGGGGACCUUCGGGCCCCUUGCCAUCGGAUGUGCCCAGAUGGGAUUAGCUAGUAGGUGGAGUAACGGCUCACCUAGGCGACGAUCCCUAGCUGGUCUGAGAGGAUGACCAGCCACACUGGAACUGAGACACGGUCCAG